GAUGAAGAACUCAGCGAAAUGCGAUAAGUAAUGUGAAUUGCAGAAUUCAGUGAAUCAUCGAAUCUUUGAACGCACAUUGCGCCCGCCAGUAUUCUGGCGGGCAUGCCUGUUCGAGCGUCAUUUCAACCAUCAAGCCCCCGGCUUGUGUUGGGGACCUGCGGCUGCCGCAGGCCCUGAAAACCAGUGGCGGGCUCGCUAGUCACUCCGAGCGUAGUAAUACAUCUCGCUCAGGGCGUGCUGCGGGUUCCGGCCGUUAAAAAGCCUUAUUUACCCAAGGUUGACCUCGGAUCAGGUAGGAAGACCCGCUGAACUUAAGCAUAUCAAUAAGCGGAGGA
RNAcentral lists this unclassified non-coding RNA (335 nucleotides) under soil metagenome. RNAcentral's name for it is "partial contains 5.8S ribosomal RNA, internal transcribed spacer 2, and large subunit ribosomal RNA". The stretch from base 1 to 120 matches the Rfam family "5.8S ribosomal RNA", at positions 35 to 154 of the family's 154-position model. The record is from RNAcentral.